UGGGGAAUUUUGGACAAUGGACGAAAGUCUGAUCCAGCAAUGCCGCGUGCAGGACGAAGGCCUUCGGGUUGUAAACUGCUUUUGUACGGAACGAAACGGUCUGCUUUAAUACAGUGGGCUAAUGACGGUACCGUAAGAAUAAGCACCGGCUAACUACGUGCCAGCAGCCGCGGUAAUACGUAGGGUGCGAGCGUUAAUCGGAAUUACUGGGCGUAAAGCGUGCGCAGGCGGUUAUAUAAGACAGAUGUGAAAUCCCCGGGCUCAACCUGGGACCUGCAUUUGUGACUGUAUAGCUAGAGUACGGUAGAGGGGGAUGGAAUUCCGCGUGUAGCAGUGAAAUGCGUAGAUAUGCGGAGGAACACCGAUGGCGAAGGCAAUCCCCUGGACCUGUACUGACGCUCAUGCACGAAAGCGUGGGGAGCAAACAGGAUUAGAUACCCAAGUAGUCCCUGAGCGGGCUGGCAAGGCGCAU
RNAcentral lists this ribosomal RNA (472 nucleotides) under uncultured bacterium. RNAcentral describes it as "bacterial SSU rRNA". It matches the Rfam family "Bacterial small subunit ribosomal RNA", at positions 355 to 825 of the family's 1533-position model. The record is from RNAcentral.